RNAcentral lists this transfer RNA (83 nucleotides) under Aerococcaceae bacterium. RNAcentral describes it as "tRNA-Leu". It matches the Rfam family "tRNA". From Rfam's summary of the family: Transfer RNA (tRNA) molecules are approximately 80 nucleotides in length. Their secondary structure includes four short double-helical elements and three loops (D, anti-codon, and T loops). Lineage: Bacteria; Bacillati; Bacillota; Bacilli; Lactobacillales; Aerococcaceae. The record is from RNAcentral.
GCGGUCGUGGCGGAAUGGCAGACGCGCUGUCUUGAGGGGGCAGUAGGGGUAUCCCUGUGGAAGUUCGAGUCUUCUCGGCCGCA